AGUUUUAGUUACCCCUGGUCAGCUGCAGUCUGAAAAUAUGAAAUAGAAAAUUCCAGACUGUGGCUGACCAGGGGUAACUGAAACC
This is a microRNA precursor of Chlorocebus sabaeus (green monkey), 85 nucleotides long. The record is from Ensembl. NCBI's taxonomy places the organism in Eukaryota, Metazoa, Chordata, Mammalia, Primates, Cercopithecidae.